Quercus robur (English oak) is the source of this 936-nucleotide long non-coding RNA. RefSeq lists it as uncharacterized. The record is from RefSeq and is a predicted model, not a curated record. NCBI's taxonomy places the organism in Eukaryota, Viridiplantae, Streptophyta, Magnoliopsida, Fagales, Fagaceae. The transcript has 4 exons.
AGUUUCCUUUGAGUUUCAACAUAACAUUUGUGGUAGAUCAAUAUAUGCAGAGGGCACCGUUGAUGCUGUAAUAUUCCUUGCCAAGAAGGUGCUGAUGGUCUGGUAAAGCUAUGGACAGUGAAAACCAACGAAUGCAUUGCCACAUAUGAUAAGCACGAGGACAAGGGACAAGGAGCUUGUCGUUUCUUUCAAUGGGAGGAUACUCAAGAAAUUACCACAAUUAAUGAUCUUGUAGAUGAAACCAAACAUGACAUAUCUGCAGAUUCUACUUCAAGAAGCCAUGAGUUAGUCACUAAAAUGGGAGGUUUGAGUAUUAAGAAUUUAAGGAGGAAGUUUGAUUCACUAGAGAUCGAAAAUCCUCAACAUCGCCCAACUUCUGUGGCUGUACAUGAACAUUUUGAGAAAGAUCAAGAGCUUGUCUUAGAGAGGAGCGAACAUGAUGAGACUUCACCUUUGGACAUUUGAAGUGUGAGACACAGACUUGGAAGGAAUAAUUAUCCUAGAUGGUUUUCAAACACAAUAUGUGCAACAUGUAGGCUUCCAACAAUAACAUACCUGACAAUUGCUUGACAUCAUCCUAUAUUCUGAAUACAAUAGGCUUGGUUUUAAGAUCUAUGGUGGCUGCUACCAACCAAAUUUGACCUUCUACAACCAAAGCCUCCAAAGAGCUAAACUUACAUCCAACAAGCAGCAAUGAUAUCUGUCCUGCUAGCCUGUUCUAUUUAACUUCAUAUCAAGUUUGGACCUACAUGUGUGAAUUGUUACAAAGAAGACCAAUGGAGAGAAUCGUGUAGCUCUAGUUUUCAGAUUCAAAAUUUGAUUGGAAACAUAUCGCUUAGGCAAUUUAUGUAAUAUCAAUUGUGAUUGUUACAUAUCAAGAAUUUGACCAUUUUCUAAAUGAAUUUGAUUGGAUGUACUCCAAAAUAUUCUUGAAUU